AUAUGGUCUUGAAACUUAAAAAAUUUGGCGGUAUUUUAGUCUAUUCAGAGGAACCUGUUCUAUAAUCGAUAAUCCACGAUGGACCUCACUUAAAUUUGUUACA
RNAcentral lists this ribosomal RNA (103 nucleotides) under Zodion fulvifrons. Its description in RNAcentral is "partial 12S ribosomal RNA". The record is from RNAcentral. Lineage: Eukaryota; Metazoa; Arthropoda; Insecta; Diptera; Conopidae.